AUAUGAUACAACUAUGAAACACAGACAAUCCAGCUCUGUUUUUGGGAAGCUCAGAAUGUGAAAAAGGUGGUGCACUUAUGGGUGUCGACAUGCUAACUAUUGGAUGAUAAGGCAUAUCUCAUCCAAGCCUCUGUAACGGUCCAUCGGCUUAACGCAUUCAGGUAACUUCUUAAGGAGGGAGCUACACAUGAGCUUAGUGGAGAAUUUGAUGGUAACAAGAAUUUGGAGCACGAGAUCUCCAUGAGACUUUUAGCUAAGGCGAAGAUAAGCUCUUUAUAAGUUAUCUUCUCCUCUACGUGUUACGUGAAUUAGUCUCUUCAAUUUGUUCAAAGUGAUUCUCUUCAGCUUGAUCAUAAUAUCAUUGAAUGUAUAAACCGCAAAGCAAAGCACAAUAUAUACACAAGAACCCGGAGGAAUGGAGUAAGGGAUUCUCAGUCAUGUGUUAUGUAAGCUCUUCUAUCAACAAGAGACUGUGAAGAUCAAUAUAAUCAAACCAAGUAGUCAAUUUUGGAUUGUUGGAAGGGGGAGUGACCACCUGAAUCUAGAUAUGAUGGAACAUUGAUGAAUAUGUUUCGUGCAAGUCUAUAUUCUAUUAUAGUUUCUCUUAUUUACUGCUCCAAGUCCCACGAUAUACAUGAGCUUAGUAACAAAAGUAUUCAUUCAUGGAGAAGGUUAUAGUAUGCUAACUUAUAUUCAGGUUUGUUAUGAUGAUUGCUAAAUUUCUUAAAACUGAUUUAACAGGAUGGAGAGUCUGGGAUGACAAGGUGAUACUGUAGGUUCCAUUGCCCGCCACAGUUUACCAAUAACUGGUUAGAUUACAUAGCACAUCUACUUUAUUUUCACUAUUAAAUUAGUUUUUCUUCACCGCAGUAGCUCUUGGAGGCUCAAGUGCUCAACCUUUCUUUUGGUCGCUAAUGCGUGGAAAACUGGUAUGCCUACAAGGUUUCAAGCAAUGGACUUCUGUUUCUUUUUUAUUUCCUUCAGUAAGAGAACAUUAUCAGUUUAGGAGAUCUCUUCAAAAAUUACAAUUUUGAAGUCCAUUGCAAAUUAGUAGACAUUAAUUAGCUAGGCAAAAAUCAGAUACUUAUAUUGGAGAAUAGGUCCUAAGUAAAUAUUUAAUUGAUUUUCUGCAAGAUGCUUUGUGAAAGGAGCUGAGCUUUGGGAAAUAUAGGGGAAGGGAAACAACGUUUGUAAUUUGAUGGAAAAUGAGAUCUUGAUGUGAAUGCAUUGUUUUAACAAAAUAAUUGUUUUGUUAUUGUAUUAAAAGAUCUAAA
Brassica oleracea var. oleracea is the source of this 1274-nucleotide long non-coding RNA. RefSeq lists it as uncharacterized. The transcript is spliced from 4 exons. NCBI's taxonomy places the organism in Eukaryota, Viridiplantae, Streptophyta, Magnoliopsida, Brassicales, Brassicaceae. The record is from RefSeq and is a predicted model, not a curated record.